GACGAACGCUGGCGGCGUGCCUAACACAUGCAAGUCGAACGGGGUGAGAUCCUUCGGGAUUUCACUUAGUGGCGAACGGGUGAGUAACGCGUGAGGAACCUGCCUUUCAGUGGGGGACAACAGUUGGAAACGACUGCUAAUACCGCAUAAUGUUAUUUGGGGGCAUCCCCGAAUAACCAAAGAUUUAUUGCUGAAAGAUGGUCUCGCGUCUGAUUAGCUAGUUGGUGAGGUAACCGGCUCACCAAGGCGACGAUCAGUAGCCGGUCUGAGAGGAUGAACGGCCACAUUGGGACUGAGAUACGGCCCAGACUCCUACGGGAGGCAGCAGUGGGGAAUAUUGGGCAAUGGGCGCAAGCCUGACCCAGCAACGCCGCGUGAAGGAAGAAGGCUUUCGGGUUGUAAACUUCUUUUGUCAGGGACGAACAAAUGACGGUACCUGACGAAUAAGCCACGGCUAACUACGUG
Molecule: ribosomal RNA, 465 nt
Filed under: uncultured bacterium
Lineage: Bacteria
Description: bacterial SSU rRNA
Rfam family: Bacterial small subunit ribosomal RNA
Source: RNAcentral